This 818-nucleotide ribosomal RNA is filed under the name Wolbachia pipientis. RNAcentral describes it as "bacterial SSU rRNA". It matches the Rfam family "Bacterial small subunit ribosomal RNA", at positions 105 to 962 of the family's 1533-position model. The record is from RNAcentral. Lineage: Bacteria; Pseudomonadati; Pseudomonadota; Alphaproteobacteria; Rickettsiales; Anaplasmataceae.
GGUGAGUAAUGUAUAGGAUCUACCUAGUAGUACGGAAUAAUUGUUGGAAACGACAACUAAUACCGUAUACGCCCUACGGGGGAAAAAUUUAUUGCUAUUAGAUGAGCCUAUAUUAGAUUAGCUAGUUGGGGGGGUAAUAGCCUACCAAGGUAAUGAUCUAUAGCUGAUCUGAGAGGAUGAUCAGCCACACUGGAACUGAGAUACGGUCCAGACUCCUACGGGAGGCAGCAGUGGGGAAUAUUGGACAAUGGGCGAAAGCCUGAUCCAGCCAUGCCGCAUGAGUGAAGAAGGCCUUUGGGUUGUAAAGCUCUUUUAGUGAGGAAGAUAAUGACGGUACUCACAGAAGAAGUCCUGGCUAACUCCGUGCCAGCAGCCGCGGUAAUACGGAGAGGGCUAGCGUUAUUCGGAAUUAUUGGGCGUAAAGGGCGCGUAGGCUGGUUAAUAAGUUAAAAGUGAAAUCCCGAGGCUUAACCUUGGAAUUGCUUUUAAAACUAUUAAUCUAGAGAUUGAAAGAGGAUAGGGGAAUUCCUGAUGUAGAGGUAAAAUUCGUAAAUAUUAGGAGGAACACCAGUGGCGAAGGCGUCUAUCUGGUUCAAAUCUGACGCUGAAGCGCGAAGGCGUGGGGAGCAAACAGGAUUAGAUACCCUGGUAGUCCACGCUGUAAACGAUGAAUGUUAAAUAUGGGGAGUUUACUUUCUGUAUUACAGCUAACGCGUUAAACAUUCCGCCUGGGGACUACGGUCGCAAGAUUAAAACUCAAAGGAAUUGACGGGGACCCGCACAAGCGGUGGAGCAUGUGGUUUAAUUCGAUGCAACGC